Molecule: ribosomal RNA, 235 nt
Filed under: uncultured euryarchaeote
Lineage: Archaea; Methanobacteriati; Methanobacteriota
Description: partial 16S ribosomal RNA
Source: RNAcentral
GGUUUAACGAAUUCGCCCUUGUACCGCGGCUGCUGGCACCGGUCUUGCCCAGCCCUUAUUCCAAAAGCUUUUUACACUUAAGAAAAGCCACCCCGUUAAGAGUGGCACUUGGGGUCCCCCCGUCGCGAUUGCUCGCAUUGCGGAGGUUUCGCGCCUGCUGCGCCCCGUAGGGCCUGGAAAGGGCGAAUUCGCGGCCGCUAAAUNUCAAUUCGCCCUAAGGGGGGUUCCUANUAAA